This 429-nucleotide ribosomal RNA is filed under the name uncultured bacterium. Its description in RNAcentral is "bacterial SSU rRNA". It matches the Rfam family "Bacterial small subunit ribosomal RNA", at positions 355 to 776 of the family's 1533-position model. The record is from RNAcentral. RNAcentral also lists the same sequence under 3 other names.
UAGGGAAUCUUCCACAAUGGACGCAAGUCUGAUGGAGCAACGCCGCGUGAGUGAAGAAGGGUUUCGGCUCGUAAAGCUCUGUUGUUAAAGAAGAACGUGGGUAAGAGUAACUGUUUACCCAGUGACGGUAUUUAACCAGAAAGCCACGGCUAACUACGUGCCAGCAGCCGCGGUAAUACGUAGGUGGCAAGCGUUAUCCGGAUUUAUUGGGCGUAAAGCGAGCGCAGGCGGUCUUUUAAGUCUAAUGUGAAAGCCUUCGGCUCAACCGAAGAAGUGCAUUGGAAACUGGGAGACUUGAGUGCAGAAGAGGACAGUGGAACUCCAUGUGUAGCGGUGAAAUGCGUAGAUAUAUGGAAGAACACCAGUGGCGAAGGCGGCUGUCUGGUCUGCAACUGACGCUGAGGCUCGAAAGCAUGGGUAGCGAACAGG